RNAcentral lists this ribosomal RNA (284 nucleotides) under uncultured Pseudomonas sp. RNAcentral's name for it is "partial 16S ribosomal RNA". It matches the Rfam family "Bacterial small subunit ribosomal RNA", at positions 1100 to 1382 of the family's 1533-position model. Lineage: Bacteria; Pseudomonadati; Pseudomonadota; Gammaproteobacteria; Pseudomonadales; Pseudomonadaceae. The record is from RNAcentral.
AACCCUUGUCCUUAGUUACCAGCACGUUAUGGUGGGCACGUCUAAGGAGACUGCCGGUGACAAACCGGAGGAAGGUGGGGAUGACGUCAAGUCAUCAUGGCCCUUACGGCCUGGGCUACACACGUGCUACAAUGGUCGGUACAAAGGGUUGCCAAGCCGCGAGGUGGAGCUAAUCCCAUAAAACCGAUCGUAGUCCGGAUCGCAGUCUGCAACUCGACUGCGUGAAGUCGGAAUCGCUAGUAAUCGUGAAUCAGAAUGUCACGGUGAAUACGUUCCCGGGCCUU